Athalia rosae (coleseed sawfly) is the source of this 446-nucleotide long non-coding RNA. RefSeq lists it as uncharacterized. NCBI's taxonomy places the organism in Eukaryota, Metazoa, Arthropoda, Insecta, Hymenoptera, Athaliidae. The record is from RefSeq and is a predicted model, not a curated record. The transcript is spliced from 3 exons.
AUGAGCGAUUUGAAGGUAAAGUGGGUUUUCCACAUCGUGGUGGCCUAUGAUGUUCUCUACUUCCUCUGUAACUAUAUCUGUGAAAUACUUCCUGCUUCUCACGACUUCGGAAGUGUUUCGAGAGUCCCGAUGGAGGUCAUAACCGGUAUCGUUCUAGGGGUGUUCAAGUUUUGCAAUUAUAAAAUCCCCCUCGAAGUCGUUCGGAAAUAAUCUAGGUGGCGUGGGAGCAAAGGGGUUCCCAACGGGAUUCCCCAGCGUUCGCCAGCUACCAUUGGGAACCCUUGCAUUCCUAGGAAUUCGUAGUCGAAGAUUGACCCAUACCUUGGGAUGUUUUGCAGAAAUGUCGACGGUCUCGCAGGGGUCGUUAAUCAGGUCAAACAGACAUUUGUUGGUGCACCUUACGAAUUGAUCGAAUGGUCGGCAAGAAAUUGUAGCCCUAUUCCGCA